Molecule: long non-coding RNA, 714 nt
Organism: Engraulis encrasicolus (European anchovy)
Lineage: Eukaryota; Metazoa; Chordata; Actinopteri; Clupeiformes; Engraulidae
Exons: 3
Source: RefSeq, a predicted model, not a curated record
AUGUCAUGGUUAAUGCACCCCAGAUGGUGACUACAGGGAAGAGAGUGUCUCUUCAGUGCUCUGCAGACUCUGUACCGAUGGCCAGUUUUACCUGGAUCCGCAACGAGGCUGUAAUAGGAGACAAGUCGGAGCUGGUCAUUGAGAGGGUUGCCGUUAGUGAUGCUGGGGUGUACAGCUGUGAAGCCGUGAACAGCAUCACCAACCACAAGGCCUCUACAGCGCACACACACUGGAUGUGAGAAAUAGUAAUCCUCUGUCUGAGAUGACUAUCGCUGGGAUUGUGAUUGGUUCAGCUGCAGGGAUAUGCCUGGUGGCAGGCCUACUAGGAUUCGCCCUGAAGAAAGCUGGUGGUCAACUUGGAUUCAAGACAGGAAGAUGGAACACUCAAAAGAGAACAGUGUUGGAUUUUGAGAACACAGGCAGCUUCAAUAUAAAGUAAACGAGGAAAGAUCUGUUCAUCCUACUGUACAUUGUGGACUUUGGUAGGGUACAUUUUGUCAAGAAAAUUGAAGAUAAUGAAAAAAAAGAAUAGCAUUGAAUUUCAUGUCAAAUGUGAAACAUGUAUUGAGGACAAGAAAAAUGUGAUUUUAGUGGGGGUUUUUUUUUCAGAUUAUGCAAUGACAACCAAUAAUAUCUGCCAUAUGCAAACUGACUUGACUAAGGCAAUUACUUCCUCAAGUAAUUGUUGUAAUUCCUUUGGGAAUACAGUAUAGC